AAAAAUACUAUAGAGUAGUUGGAAAUCAAAAUGGAUAUCUAAAAUUUUAAAGAGGAUUUUAGUUAAGAGAGAGUAAAGCGAUGAAGAUUUAGUUUGAUAUUGAGAUCUAUCUAACGAUUAGAUAAAAUGGAGUUAGGGUAAAAGUAUACCGACUAAUCGCGAUAUGUGGAAUGUAAUAUUACAUACGGAAAUAAACAUGGUAUUUUUUUCAUCGCACUUGACCGCACGUAAUGCAAUCUUUCCACAAUCCCAAACGAAGCCUAAGGGAAAGGGAAGAAAAGUGUAUGCGAGAGAAGAUUUUGAAUGGUUUUAUUCGCAAUGGGCCAAUUCAUGAUUCAAAGCCAAAUUGGACCUUAAAUGAAUUGGGUCAAUUCCAUUUUCAGAGUAUAAUGAAAAUCGAAAUUUGAUUCCUGUAAAACAAAUAAUAAUUAUCGAAUUAAUGAAUCACAUUUUGAUUCCAUAAUCUAAAUAGGUAAACCAAAUAAGCUCUUAAAAUAUAGUAUAUAGAUUGAGAAAUAAGGCUUUUUUGUAUAAAAAAUCUGUUGGUUUUUGUAGAAUUGGGCCACUUUUUUGGAUUUUGUAAUUUUUGUAUGAAGUUUUAAAAAUCUGACCAAAAUGUCUCAGCGCUUAAAAUAAAUUAAUCUGACCAAAAUAGUUGUCCUCGGCCUUCUCUUUCUUCCUUUUCUUCUACUACUAUUUUUCCUUUUUUUUCUAUUUUUUUCAUUAAAUAAAAUCUUAUUCUUUUUUUAUUCUUUGUUGCUAAAAAAAAA
This 770-nucleotide long non-coding RNA is filed under the name Ananas comosus (pineapple). RNAcentral describes it as "long non-coding RNA (ACOM_LNC013013)". Lineage: Eukaryota; Viridiplantae; Streptophyta; Magnoliopsida; Poales; Bromeliaceae. The record is from RNAcentral.